ACUGACCAUCGCUCUUCUUCGCCGUUCUGCUCUAAUCGUCGCUGCGCCGCUCUAACCAUCGUCAUCUCCGUGCUUCUCAUCAUCAUCUUCUCUGUGCUCACAUCAUUGAAUAGGAAAAGUGGUUGGAGGUUUUGGGUUGUUCAGCGACAGAGCAAGAAAUUCUAAGAAGAAAUGGGAAGCCAAACAAUGCUGCCAUGAGUUUCAAAAAUUUCGAGUGUAUAUGAGCAGCAUAGUCAAGUGACUGUAGCAUAUGCUUCAUCUUCUUAUUCUGGCAUCUGGUAGGAAUGAGGAAAAUAUCUUAAAAAGUGUAUCUUAGGAUUGGAAUGCAAUCAGAUUUGGCACAGUCUUGGAAAAUGUGGUAUUUGAUGAGCAUUCUCGAGAGGUUGAUUACUCAGACAAAUCAGUUACAGUGACAGCUUCUGUUACAUAUGAUCACAAAGCAAUUGUUGUUAAUGGGCAGAGAAAGAUUCUAUUUCUGGUUCUAUACACUACGCCAAAAGCACACCUCAGGU
Molecule: long non-coding RNA, 512 nt
Organism: Arachis duranensis
Lineage: Eukaryota; Viridiplantae; Streptophyta; Magnoliopsida; Fabales; Fabaceae
Exons: 5
Source: RefSeq, a predicted model, not a curated record